GGGUUGUGAGGUUAAGCGACUAAGCGUACACGGUGGAUGCCCUGGCAGUCAGAGGCGAUGAAGGACGUGCUAAUCUGCGAAAAGCGUCGGUAAGGUGAUAUGAACCGUUAUAACCGGCGAUGUCCGAAUGGGGAAACCCAGUGUGAUUCGUCACACUAUCGUUAACUGAAUACAUAGGUUAACGAGGCGAACCGGGGGAACUGAAACAUCUAAGUACCCCGAGGAAAAGAAAUCAACCGAGAUUCCCCCAGUAGCGGCGAGCGAACGGGGAGCAGCCCAGAGUCUGAAUCAGCUUGUGUGUUAGUGGAACGGUCUGGAAAGUCCGACGGUACAGGGUGAUAGUCCCGUACACCAAAAUGCACAGGUUGUGAACUCGAAGAGUAGGGCGGGACACGUGGUAUCCUGUCUGAAUAUGGGGGGACCAUCCUCCAAGGCUAAAUACUCCUGACUGACCGAUAGUGAACCAGUACCGUGAGGGAAAGGCGAAAAGAACCCCGGCGAGGGGAGUGAAAAAGAACCUGAAACCGUGUACGUACAAGCAGUGGGAGCACCUUUAUGGUGUGACUGCGUACCUUUUGUAUAAUGGGUCAGCGACUUAUAUUCUGUAGCAAGGUUAACCGUAUAGGGGAGCCGCAGGGAAACCGAGUCUUAACUGGGCGUUAAGUUGCAGGGUAUAGACCCGAAACCCGGUGAUCUAGCCAUGGGCAGGUUGAAGGUUGGGUAACACUAACUGGAGGACCGAACCGACUAAUGUUGAAAAAUUAGCGGAUGACUUGUGGCUGGGGGUGAAAGGCCAAUCAAACCGGGAGAUAGCUGGUUCUCCCCGAAAGCUAUUUAGGUAGCGCCUCGUGAACUCAUCUUCGGGGGUAGAGCACUGUUUCGGCUAGGGGGUCAUCCCGACUUACCAACCCGAUGCAAACUACGAAUACCGAAGAAUGUUAUCACGGGAGACACACGGCGGGUGCUAACGUCCGUCGUGAAGAGGGAAACAACCCAGACCGCCAGCUAAGGUCCCAAAGUCAUGGUUAAGUGGGAAACGAUGUGGGAAGGCACAGACAGCCAGGAUGUUGGCUUAGAAGCAGCCAUCAUUUAAAGAAAGCGUAAUAGCUCACUGGUCGAGUCGGCCUGCGCGGAAGAUGUAACGGGGCUAAACCAUGCACCGAAGCUGCGGCAGCGACACUAUGUGUUGUUGGGUAGGGGAGCGUUCUGUAAGCCUGCGAAGGUGACCUGUGAGGGUUGCUGGAGGUAUCAGAAGUGCGAAUGCUGACAUAAGUAACGAUAAAGCGGGUGAAAAGCCCGCUCGCCGGAAGACCAAGGGUUCCUGUCCAACGUUAAUCGGGGCAGGGUGAGUCGACCCCUAAGGCGAGGCCGAAAGGCGUAGUCGAUGGGAAACAGGUUAAUAUUCCUGUACUUGGUGUUACUGCGAAGGGGGGACGGAGAAGGCUAUGUUAGCCGGGCGACGGUUGUCCCGGUUUAAGCAUGUAGGCUGGUUAUCCAGGCAAAUCCGGAUAAUCAAGGCUGAGGUGUGAUGACGAGGCACUACGGUGCUGAAGUAACAAAUGCCCUGCUUCCAGGAAAAGCCUCUAAGCAUCAGGUAACAUCAAAUCGUACCCCAAACCGACACAGGUGGUCAGGUAGAGAAUACCAAGGCGCUUGAGAGAACUCGGGUGAAGGAACUAGGCAAAAUGGUGCCGUAACUUCGGGAGAAGGCACGCUGGUGUGUAGGUGAAGUCCCUGCGGAUGGAGCUGAGACCAGUCGAAGAUACCAGCUGGCUGCAACUGUUUAUUAAAAACACAGCACUGUGCAAACACGAAAGUGGACGUAUACGGUGUGACGCCUGCCCGGUGCCGGAAGGUUAAUUGAUGGGGUUAUCCGUAAGGAGAAGCUCUUGAUCGAAGCCCCGGUAAACGGCGGCCGUAACUAUAACGGUCCUAAGGUAGCGAAAUUCCUUGUCGGGUAAGUUCCGACCUGCACGAAUGGCGUAAUGAUGGCCAGGCUGUCUCCACCCGAGACUCAGUGAAAUUGAACUCGCUGUGAAGAUGCAGUGUACCCGCGGCAAGACGGAAAGACCCCGUGAACCUUUACUAUAGCUUGACACUGAACAUUGAGCCUUGAUGUGUAGGAUAGGUGGGAGGCUUUGAAGCGUGGACGCCAGUCUGCGUGGAGCCAACCUUGAAAUACCACCCUUUAAUGUUUGAUGUUCUAACGUUGGCCCCUAAUCGGGGUUGCGGACAGUGUCUGGUGGGUAGUUUGACUGGGGCGGUCUCCUCCCAAAGCGUAACGGAGGAGCACGAAGGUUAGCUAAUCCUGGUCGGACAUCAGGAGGUUAGUGCAAUGGCAUAAGCUAGCUUGACUGCGAGCGUGACGGCGCGAGCAGGUGCGAAAGCAGGUCAUAGUGAUCCGGUGGUUCUGAAUGGAAGGGCCAUCGCUCAACGGAUAAAAGGUACUCCGGGGAUAACAGGCUGAUACCGCCCAAGAGUUCAUAUCGACGGCGGUGUUUGGCACCUCGAUGUCGGCUCAUCACAUCCUGGGGCUGAAGUAGGUCCCAAGGGUAUGGCUGUUCGCCAUUUAAAGUGGUACGCGAGCUGGGUUUAGAACGUCGUGAGACAGUUCGGUCCCUAUCUGCCGUGGGCGCUGGAGAAUUGAGGGGGGCUGCUCCUAGUACGAGAGGACCGGAGUGGACGCAUCACUGGUGUUCGGGUUGUCAUGCCAAUGGCACUGCCCGGUAGCUAAAUGCGGAAGAGAUAAGUGCUGAAAGCAUCUAAGCACGAAACUUGCCCCGAGAUGAGUUCUCCCUGAGACUAUAAGUCUCCUGAAGGAACGUUGAAGACGACGACGUUGAUAGGCCGGGUGUGUAAGCGCAGCGAUGCGUUGAGCUAACCGGUACUAAUGAACCGUGAGGCUUAACCUUACAACGCCGAAG
RNAcentral lists this ribosomal RNA (2924 nucleotides) under Klebsiella pneumoniae. Its description in RNAcentral is "bacterial LSU rRNA". It matches the Rfam family "Bacterial large subunit ribosomal RNA". Lineage: Bacteria; Pseudomonadati; Pseudomonadota; Gammaproteobacteria; Enterobacterales; Enterobacteriaceae. The record is from RNAcentral.